Non-coding RNA from Struthio camelus australis, 10732 nucleotides. The record is from RefSeq and is a predicted model, not a curated record. Lineage: Eukaryota; Metazoa; Chordata; Aves; Struthioniformes; Struthionidae.
GCUGUGAUCGAAACGGUGCUCUCCAGCCAUUUCCAGGCUCAGCCAACACUGGCUGCCUCGCGUAUUUGGUAAUUCAGUGAACUGCUUGAUAGAAAGAGAAAGCUGCAUAAAGCCGCUUGCUGUUAGAGAGUGGGAGGUUAAUGAAGUUCAUUUUACAGACCAGUAGUGCAAACCUGCUAUCAGAUGGCUUGCACAGAUCCCAGAUGGCUUAAGUAAAGCUGGGACUUAAACAGGUACCCAGCAUUUUGCCAUGUGAUUAAUAAAGCAUCAAGACACUUACAUUGCUUCAGCAGCAGGAUUAAUGACUGUCCAUAACUACGUGCUUUGACCAAGAAGGGGCACACGUGAACGCUGAGGACCUCUAAAUCCAACUUUUAGCUAUGGUUACCACGUGCACCUACGAAGCCCUGCUGACUCCACGUGCUCCUCAGGCACCCGACACCUUGCUCCAGUGCUCAUGGGUGCCCCAGCAAGAGCGAUCCUGAAUGAGCACGUGCACUGCCACGCCAGGGGGAGGGUGUGGAGAUGUUGAAACCAAACACAGCUGCAGCUGUGGCAGGUGGUGGAUCCCUGUUCCAGUUGGAUUUUCAGCUUAAGGCCCAGGAAUCUUACAAACUACAGGAAUUCUGCACGUGGACAUCUUGCUAAGUCAGGUCUCAAAAGAAGUGCUUAAUAAGGUCUUAACUUCCUAUUGAGGAGAGUCCUUUGUGGAAAUACGAUUUAGAGCAGGAUUGGCUGCUAUAUAGGAAUGUUAAAAAGGACUAUGACAGUUUUCUAAAUCACUGCUUGCACUCUCAAGGAUGUUUGCAUGAGACAGGGUAAGUUAACCCUGGUGCAACUCCGUCUCAGCAUCAGUCCCACUGCUUCCAGCUGUGGACAUCGCUUGUUUGCUGCAAGGCUGAGAUGUCUGUGGACCGUGCUGCAAUUCCCAAGCUCCAGGGGAAGCCAAAGAAACCAGACUGCACUGAUGAACAAUGACCAACUCGAGCGGGGUCACAGAGGAAGGACAGCGAAGGCAACUAGGAGCGUAUCUCAAACAAUCCUGCUCAGUUUCACGUGGAGAGACUGCUGUGCAGAGAACAAAAGGUUAAAAAAACAAAAAAAGUACAGAUCUAGCCAGUUAGGACGCAACCGCUGGAAGUCAUUAAAGAAGAAGAGAGCAAUGUUUUCACUUUCCCCACAGACGCGACACAGGCAGGUCAAGGGCUGGUGAGCGGCUGCAGCAUCUACACGUUCGGCCUAGCAGAUCAGCAGCAGCGCUUUAUACAGUUACAGCUUUUGGCUAACUUUUGCUCUUAUGCUAACAACCUUACAUGCCAAUCUGCAGUGUAGGCUGUGGCAUGAGAUUACUGCUGUAUUUUUUCCAAGUUCAAUGUAUGUAGGUGAAACCCUUUUAUUUUCCAGGUGGAAUUUCUGUGGCUGAAAUCUUUCACCAGGCACCAGAAGGCAGCUGGCUAAUGACCAUUUUUUUAAGCCCCAAAUUUCUAGGGAGACAUCAGCGUACCCGGAAGCACUGUCAGAGGGACCCGCAAAAAGCAGCACACCAGUUUUUGGCAAUGAGAGAUGAGACAGCUACUGGGCUAACCUUGCUUACCAGAGACAUUUUGGCUGUGGAAGGCCUUGUCUCCCACCUUCGACUGGCGCAGGGGUAGACCACUGGUUUGGGACCCUACCAGCGGCCACGGGUAGGGGCCGGGCUGGGCUCUCAGAGCUGUGGUCCUCCUCCCCAGCUGCAACAAGGCAAUAAUUCGCAUCAACACCAGCCCUUCGCUGAUGCAUCGUGCGGGGUGUCUUUGGGGAAGAGAGGGGAAAGAAAAGGUUUACCCAUGCCUGUCCGUUGGAGGGGGAGCACCAGCGUGCCGGCAGGGCCUCUCGUCUCCCUCCUGGCAGUGCCUCUCCGGAAAGCAGCUCCUAAAAUAAAAUCCUUUUAAAGGAGCAUGGUAAAAUAGCAGCAGAAUAAAAGAACAGGGGAAGAAAAAGCCUGUCUUCAGCUUCCCAUUAACCUGCCCCUUGACUGCCUUCAUCACGUUAAUUUUGUAUUUUACACUUGUUUGCUCAGCGGGGAGCACAGAUGGCUGCACCCACGUGCAAGACGGCCGACGCUGGUGGCACCUCUGUCACUUCCCCCUCGACGCGGCGAGGGGGAGCUCCCGGCCGGCGUGGGCACAGCAGUGGGCUGCCAUGGGUUAGUAAAGGUGGUCAGCUCGUAAUUAUGGCUCCCUGGUUGGCCUCGGCCUCUCGGGAAUAAGCGAGAGGGACUGAGCAUGUAGAGGCUGUGCAAAGGCUGGAGGGGGGUCUGCACUGGAGGGAGGGAGGUCCCUGUUUCAGCUCACUGAGGUGUUUUAGAGGGAGCCAGUAUCUGUAUGAGGGAAAAUAUUAAUAUUUGAGCAUGCUAAGUGACUACAUUAAUUUCCCGUAAGCAUUUAAUAGCAUUACAUAUGAAUACAGAAAAAGCAAGACGUUUUCCUCCGUCGCUUUUCCGACGGCCGGAGGCACAUCUGUCGGAGGGACUGUUUUCACCUCCCGCAGCUUCUUUACCAAACUGUAUUACUCUGGGCCUGUGGUGAGACAGUUAAUUGUGCUCCUGAGACUACCGCCCCUGCAUACAGAAGUCUCGUUCGCCAUAAGGAUGACAAGAGCCCAAUUCGCCAGCCCUUAGCAGACGGCCAAGCGCCGCCGCCCCGGCUUUGCUCCGCGCGCGGGCAGGCGAGGCAGCAGGUGAAUUCUCAAGGCGGAGCGCUUGCGAGGCAGCCUCACGCUCGAAGUCGCCUUACUGCUGAUUGUUUCCUCUCAGCAUACUGUGAAACAAGGCAUAAAAAUGGCUCGGACUAGCGCGCUGUGCAGAAGCACCGGUCACAGCCCUAAAAGGCCACAAGUCACGACUCUGACUGACACCGGAGCACAAAACAACGAAGGGAGGGUAAAACGUUCUCUUUUUAGUUGAGAGUCGGAGCAAAGUUACAAAGUAUAAAGCAUAAAACACAGGGCGGAUUCUGACCGUUGCGGGAAACUCGAAACCUGGUGGCGCCUCUGCACUUUUGUUAUUAAGCAUUGUCCUCCGCAUAGGUCUUUUCCCCGUCCACUGAUAACACGUUGCUAACUUUCAAACAGCACUUGAGACCUGACUCAAGCAACACCCAAGUUAACCCACCCGUAACUUGCAUUUUCCUGCCCUCCCUCGCAGAGGGAUGCCCACAGCCCCUGCGCGUCCUGCCGCGGCACGGCUCACGCCUGCGUUUUGGGCAGCCCUGGCCUCCUCAGCACCAGAGGAUGUGGCCACCAAACCCCGCUGGCAGGCUGCUGGGCCCAGGCAGCCUUCUCAAGGUAACAUGCUGCCGGCCGCAGGGACUGCCCGAGCCUGUCUCGGGUUUUAUCAGCUGCCUCCUCCUGUUUUCAAAAAUAGAGCCGCAUUGAUGCCAACUGCUAGUACAAGUCAUUGCCAGCCUUGGCUGUUUAUAGCUUUUUUCCACUGGAACAAAGCUAUAGUCAGAAAGCCAGAAAGAGUUUGUUGAAUAAGAGGGCUAAGAGGCAGGUCUGCCUAUGUGGCCAGACGACUUUAUCCAAAAGAAACAAUUAUGGAGGAAACAAAAAGUCAUAGGACAACUUUGAUUAAUUCAGUGCUAAGAACAGAACAGUUUCAGCAUGUCUUCAGCCCCAAAAGCCUGAAUAUGACAGUUUGAUGGGGUAGUUCCUUAAUCCUGAAUUCAGUUAUUCCAGGUGCUUAGACCCAAAUCUAGGUUAAACUUGCAACAAAGGCGUCUUUUCAGGAAAGGCUCGUGCGGGGUUCGUAACCCUGCACCAGCAGGCACAGGUAGCAGUGCUGCUGCCGGGCUCCUGCCAGACCCGCCAUUUCGUUGGCAUCGCCUGGAGCUCCCUCCUGCUGGACCUUUUCCUCCUGAAAAGCCCAUGAGUUUUUAGUUCAGAGUCCACAGAGGUAACACACAGACCACACAGCAAUAUAUCGGAGAUCUAACACACCUACUGUGUGUUCCUCAUCUGUAGUAAGACACUCAAAGAUUUCCGAUAUCUAGGCAAAAUCACUGAAAGACUCAGUUAUCAAAAUCAUAGCAGGCAAUAACCUCUUAGGUAGCUAGAGGUCAAACCUCAUCUAGAGACACUGAAUCACUCUUCUUUGAAAUUCAAUUUAGAGGAGACAGUUCACGAAGCGAACAAAAAAAAUUCAAUUUCUUAAGCCUGAUGUCUUACUAGUGGUUUGCCUGUUCCCCCCACUCCCAAAUUCCUAAUUUUUUUCUUCUCAGACAAUUUUCUUGUGAAAGAAACAUGAGUAAUUUCUGCUAAGCAAAUGAUGUGUUUUGGAGUGUAGCAACUGUAAUGACCUCCCGGAUUAUUAUUAGUUGCCUUGCUAAUUGCAGUAAGGAAAUGAAGGACACGAAGGUAGACAGGGAGCAAUGGGGGGAACAGUGCCUGCAGGUUCCCUAGCCCAGAGCUGUUGAGCUCAGCACAAAGGUCAGGCACUUUGAUAACAUUAAUGGAACAAAACUGCCUCUGCCUUUUAAAAUUGUCUCUAAAUCUCAGAGCGACACAGCAACAAAAGGAAUCUGCAAAGUCUUAGCCAGAAACUUCACAGGUCUAAUUCCCCCAUCACUGUAUAGUCUAAUGCUGAACACAAGAUGCCUGAAAGUUUCUGUGUUCAGGACUUUCUGCAAAAGUUGCUCCCUUAUAUUGCAAGCAAUCACUUAUCUGCAGUCAUGUGCUGCUGAGUAACCAGAGACCAAUCUGCCAACCACUUCCAUAAAGGACAGGCUGCCCAAAGAGGUUUUUUUUUUUCUUUUCCCAUGAGAAAGUACUAAAAGAAUAUAUUCCUCUGCACCAGAACAACAAAAAAACUUGAGCAGAAUAUUCCUGGCUAUUUUCCUGCUGCUAGCUCUUCCACAUUUUCUCCAGUGAUCUGGACAACAUCACAUCAAACCGUAAUUCAUGAUGAGUCCGAUUUUACUACCUUAGCAAUGGCUGGCUUUGGCUGUGUAGCUGUUCCCAGCCACUAAAGAGGUCUACAGAGUGCCUCUGUGCAAGUCUGGCUCUGCACGGCAUCUGGUCUUUGUGACACCUGAUGUUUGAAAAAAAAGCAAUUAAAGCUCCAUCAUAAAAAUAAAAACUCAAAGAUUCAGUCAGAAAACAGCAUUCCCUUGUACUUGUGCUUUGCAGAGAGAUGAGAUAACAUACCUUGUGCAGCCUAUCCGUUCUCCAGGCUGUUUGACUUGGAAAAAACGCUAGGUACAACUAACUCCCCACGAGCUCCAGAGACAGAAACUUAACUACUUGAAGAACAGCCGCUUCAUGAUGUUGUAGUGUGCUGUGGACCCACAAAAGAAAAGAGAUCGUGGGCAGUUUACCUGAACAAUUUUUACCACUGCAAAAACACCCAUUACUUCCUUCCUCUCUAUUUACUAAAUAACCUAAAAUAUCUCAGUGAGUCUAGUUGUGCGGCAAUGCGACAUUUUUACUGUUAGUGCCUUUCCACUGAUUACUCUUCCCCAUAACUGCCCCAGUUCACAAUAACUUCCCGGGGCUCAAGUUUUGGGCUGAUGGCCUGGUUUGCAUAAAAGGUUGGAGAGCAGUAAAGUAGAAUCAAUCUGCACCACAGCUGGCUCCAGCCACUGCUGUUAUCCUAUUUUCACCCGGGCUUAUGAAGUUGAAGCAAAAUGCUCCCCUUUCAGAGUUGUUAGGGUGCCUGCUGUGAAGAUGCAGUGAUGUCAGCCCCAAAUAAUUAAGUUGUUAUAUUAUAACUGUGAGUCUGUGCUCCAUUAAGUGAGUUCCCGCUGACUGAUUAAUGAGCAAACAAAAAUUCACAUCCCAUUAAUAUUUUUAGAGUUACAUUAAACGUAAAAAAGAAAACUCAAGUGCUUAGCAGUGACUACUUGGGAGUCUUUUUCUGAAAGACCAAGAUGGAAACAUGCACUAUCCCAUCACUACAUUUUGAAAUGACUGAAAAGUUUAUUUUCUUUUCACGGGGUGGAGAAUUAGGUAACAACACAGUCUCACUGUUUUGCUGUUGCUUCUGUGCAACAUUCAAAUCCUGUCUUGUCAAAAGAGCGAUAAUUUUCCCCUUCCUGUAACAACGCUGCAACUACAGUAUCUCAGAGGCUCUGAAAUAUACAGUCCCCUUGGUUGUGCCCACUAGAAAUUUGAGGAGAGUCUAAAGGAAAUAUUCUUAUUUGUCAAUAUAAUGCACAAGAUUUACAGAGAAUCUAAAAAAAAAAAAGAGAGAAGAAAUCAGUGGUAUUGAUACAGUUACCGCUUGUGGGAAGAAUGGAGCCCAGCCUCAAGUUUACCUUUCUGUGUUUUCCCUGCAAGGGCAGUGAGUGAGCGUGGCAUCCGCUAGCGAGGACUCGGGUGAGAUGCGGCCACUGGGAGGGGACCUAUAGAUCACAGCUGUCUCAGGCAACCGGGACCUGAAGUCACAUACAGCUUUUAAAUCACGACUCAGGCUUUGAAAAUAAAGCCAGCACAGUUCAGAGAUUAAUUCGAGGUUUAGGCUUCCCAUGAAUGAUGACAUUCGCGACACAGCCAAGCAAGUGACAGCCUUUCUGCUCGCACCAUUAUCCCUGGCAUGAUCUGCACGAAAGCGGCAGAGCCUUGCUUCUAUUCUUUUCCGCAGAUGGUAUAAAAGGAAAAAAACAGGAUGUGAAGUUUACAGCUCAGUGCCCUGAUUUCUGGAGGUCUGUUAGCUGAAAUGGAUCUUCUAACAAAAUAUUUAUAUGCUCUUAGAAGCUUUUUAAUGAAAAGGAAUAAGUGCUAUUUGUGUUUUCACUGGUUGUAUUUGAGAAUCCUGGUCAACAUAAAUUAUUCAACACACAGAAUUUAUUAUCAAAUUAUAAACAUAUGGCUUAGCCUGAGAAAAUCUUUCCUAGAGAAACAAAUGUUGCUCCCAAGUACCACAGAGGUCUACAAGCCUAGUUGCAAGAUUUGGUACUCUAUUAAGGAACUGAAACUUUCAACAUAAAUAGCAUGAACUGCCUACUAUUUAAACGAAUAGUAACCUGCAGCAACAGGCUGGGUGUACCCUUGUUUACUCCAACCAGCAUGCUGUGCCUUACAGGAAAUACCGAAAGAUAACAGACGAGGUGACAUCUCCCCACUUCCUGAAGGACACACUUGUUAGUAUAUCAGCAAGGACACUUGCAGCAGAUGAUGUUUUCUCCACUGUAAGUACUCACAUCUAUUUUAUUUAUAAUGCGAUCUAAAAGGCAAAGGCUUCAUACACAAUGAAAUUGGGUAUUUUGUAAGAAAUACAGCAAUAACAACAACAACAACAACAGCAACAACAAAAAGAACUGGGGAAAACAGCACGUUAGGUGUCAUUCCAUUUUUAUCGUCCUUAGCUACAAAACAGGCUUCCUGGGGUGAGGUAAUCUUCAGGAGACGCUCUCCGCCUAUGCUCUGGGACACAGCGCUCUGCUGCAAGGACAAGUCUAGCAACGCUGAUAAGAUCCUUCUCCACCAUAAAGGCGCCCUUCUGUUCCUCCUCAAGAGAUGUGAAAAGCAGAUGCACCAAAACAGUAUCUGUACCCUAUGAUGCCUUUCACCUUAAGAAGGCCGAUGAAAUGGAGGUUGGGAAGUCCGUUAGGGAUGUCGCUACUCAAGGUGCUCAGAUAUGAAGGAAUGGGCAGCAGUUUAAAACGCGGAGGUAAAGGAAAACGGAUAUCUCCAAAUUGGCACCUAACAGGUAAAUGCAGGUAAAGACCACUGUAAGUGACAGGGUUGGCACUGCCAGGCGUCUGGCAGUAGGUUCUUUAGUGCAUCCUGAAAAACUUACUGUAUCAAACUCACUCCGAGGGAGUCGCUUUUCAAAAGCAGUUAAUAGCCUAAGGAACAGCCCUCUCUAUAAUGUUGAUGACUGUAAAAUACUAUGAUGCUAACAUCUUAUUUAAGGCCAGAUAAACAUUGCAAGCUGACUGUUUGUUGUUUUAGUUAGGGUUUUCAUUACAUACAAAGGGAACAAGUUGAAAUUUAGCAACUGCCAAAAUGUCUCAAACCAAUUGGGAAUAGGUUGGUUUUUGAUCUCAGACAGGUCACCCUUGUCUGAACACCCUUCACUGCUGCAUAACGGCUUGCUUAUGCUCGCCAAAGAUACUAGGCCCUCUGUUAAUGUCAGACUUUUCCAACCUAAGGCAGAUUAUAUAAAGACAUCUUACAUAUUAAAGUUCAUAGGUAUUCUUUCUCAGACUUUCUGAAAAGAGAAAUCUUGGUUUCCAGAUUCAAAUUCCCAAGCAUACCAUAUUUGUUCUGUACAGGCUUUAAACUGCUUCAAGGGCUCUUCAGAAACAACUGCAAGGAAAUAGGUGUGAAUGGCUGCUGUAGCACAGGCUUUCUACCCACGAUUAACAACUCGGGUUUUUUUUUUGCAGUGAAUUUCCUGUCCAGCAAAGUAAAUGAACUACUGAAUUCAAAUAAAGUUUAGUACUUUUCUGUAAAAAUAAUAUUUACCCCAAACUAACAAACCACACAUAUGCACAAAAUUACUUCUUCCUUUUUGCAGAACAGGCUGAAUUGCAAAGAUCUGGAGCUGUGCUUUCUUGCAGCUUUUUGACAGAAUCUGAGGGGAAAAAAAUGCUCUAAAUUCUUUCAUUCCCUUGUGCUGCAGAGAAAUGGCACUACAUGAUGUCUCUAAAUUGGCACAUAACAGUGCAGAGACUGAUGUAUCUAACACCCUUUUCUGUCUGUACUGGAUUAUUCCUUAAUUAAGGCAUAAAGCUAGUCCAGCCUUUAUUGUUAAAAAAAAAUCACAAAGCUAACGAAGAGCAUGAAUUGCUUUUCCAGUCACUGGCCAAACAAUACGCAGCAUCUAUAUUUUCUGCAUUAUCACGUGCAGGCAAGCAAUAAUUCAGAAGAAGUUAUGCAUCUACCAGUCAAUAUUUCCAUGCCCAGAGAGAUAUUGCAGUUACAGAACAAUUUGUCAGGGCAGAAACAUUAUUUGAAUGUAGGAAACAUAGGCUCAUCCAACUGCUUUUGUUGCGUGUACUUAUUUGACACCGGCUGUUCAAUAUGGACAAUCAAAGCAAAGAGUAUCAGGUAUGCUCUCAGCAGCCAAACCAUUGCAGCCUUUUUGCAGAGCUUAUGUGAGAGUCAAACAAGUAUAUAACACUAAGGAUACAUCUGCAGUACCUUUAAACUUGCCUCCACAAUCAACUCAUUUUCUUUCAUUUCUAAGCUUAAACUCCUCAGAAAUGCCACAAACAAUAAACCCACUCCAGCUAUCCAUCUGAAGUGUAACAGGGUCUUCCCGUUACCUUAAAAGGAGAGGAUAUCAUUUUUCAUGCAUCUGUUAUGCAGUGACAGGGAAGAGAGAUAGUUAUACUUUCUACAGGUUGGGGUACGAUGUACAGAACAGCUAAGGCAAGAUUUUUUCAAAGCUGCCAGCAACAUUUUCAGACACAGCAAAGCACUUCACCUAUUUAGUCCAAAUGUCCAGUCUGGUGGUAUUUAAGCAUGUAACCCCUUUAGAUGCCAACUCAUGGGAUUUACAGAAGUCCCUGUCUACAUUUUCAGCACCUUCUGUUUCAGAAAAUUUGCUCCAUGGUGGUUUUUUGGCUGCAGGAGCCCUAUGCACUGAGUUGACCCUGGUCCCAGGUCAGCAUCCCACCCACGAGACCAUCCUUCCUGGGGGACAACCAAGCCAAAGGACAACCAACACCCACCCUCGCUCCUUGCAGCUCUGCCACUUGGUGUCCAGCAAGACUUUUAGUUUGCUGCCAAGCUGUUACUUUGAUUUUCUCCUACAGUGCAGCUGGAGCAUUUGAUGCCCUGUACCCAGUCCUCGGGUAGCUGGGAGACCUCCUUCAUCUGGCAAGGUUGGAAGCAUGGCAUAGUGUCUGUUUCCAUAAUCUUUGUAGGGACUACAGCAAAGAUGGCAGUAUUGGUCUUUGGAAAUCACAGCCUCCAGAGUCACAGUUCAUCUAAGGAAGACAAACAGCGGGGGUACAUAUCCAAAGUGGGACAGAAAAGGCCAUGUUUCUCCUGGCACUGAGGCAAUUUAAUGAUCUCCAUCUGUUCUGAACCGAAUUCCCUCGCCAGCCUGCGUUUCUUGCACUCUUCCUUCCUAGAGCCGUGCGAAGGUCCAGCUGCAGUGCAGCCUCUACUGCUGACUUUAAUGGCCGCUAUGAAUUUAGUGCGGGUGAAGCAGCAUCUUAAAGUGCAGGUACGACAGGACAGCUUCUGACUUUCUUCCUCCAUUAGACAGGUAAUCCUAAAAUAAUGAUGGAUAUCCUGUCCUCAUCUCCCUUCCUAAGCAACCCAUGCGUCUGGACAAAGGAAAAAUAAGAACGUGCUAUUAGAUCCAUCUCAGUGAACUACUCAGUGCUAUGGGACAGUGCUAUGAAGCUGCUAUGCUCUAAACAUCACUUUAUUAAACUCUAACGUGCCUAACACAUUUGCUAUUGAUGUGUAUUUACAGCUAUUCUUUGAGCUGUUUGUAAACCUAUUUCCAGGCAACUAGACUCAACAGUCUCUACAUUAGUCUCAUGCUCCCCCUCUGUUAUCUUGGUAUGGUUAGUAGCCCUUUUCCCCUCCUGUGCCUUUUCUUUGAAUUAACUCACCUUCAGUCUUUAGCUGAGAAGGGAGGCCACAGAGUCACAAGACACCACAGAACAUUUUUAAAACAAAGAAGAGGCACUUUUACAAAACAGAAAAUGUGUUCUAAUCACCAGCCAUUCCUAAUAUUACCCUCCUCAUCAAUAUUACAUGAGCAUUUUCAAAGAAAUCUCUCAGUCCC